This 447-nucleotide ribosomal RNA is filed under the name uncultured bacterium. RNAcentral's name for it is "bacterial SSU rRNA". It matches the Rfam family "Bacterial small subunit ribosomal RNA", at positions 355 to 825 of the family's 1533-position model. The record is from RNAcentral.
UGGGGAAUUUUGGACAAUGGGCGCAAGCCUGAUCCAGCCAUGCCGCGUGAGUGAAGAAGGCCUUCGGGUUGUAAAGCUCUUUUGGCGGGGAAGAUAAUGACGGUACCCGCAGAAUAAGCUCCGGCUAACUUCGUGCCAGCAGCCGCGGUAAUACGAAGGGAGCUAGCGUUGUUCGGAAUCACUGGGCGUAAAGCGCACGUAGGUGGGCAGUUAAGUCAGGGGUGAAAGCCCGAGGCUCAACCUCGGAAUUGCCUCUGAUACUGGCUGUCUAGAGUUCGAGAGAGGUGAGUGGAAUUCCUAGUGUAGAGGUGAAAUUCGUAGAUAUUAGGAAGAACACCGGUGGCGAAGGCGGCUCACUGGCUCGAUACUGACACUGAGGUGCGAAAGCGUGGGGAGCAAACAGGAUUAGAUACCCUAGUAGUCCCUGAGCGGGCUGGCAAGGCGCAU